UCCUGGUGGCGAGUGGCGAACGGGUGAGUAAAGUAUCGGAACGUGCCCAGUCGUGGGGGAUAACGAAUCGAAAGUUACGCUAAUACCGCAUACGAUCUAUGGAUGAAAGCGGGGGAUCGCAAGACCUCGCGCGAUUGGAGCGGCCGAUAUCAGAUUAGCUAGUUGGUGAGGUAAAGGCUCACCAAGCCGACGAUCCGUAGCUGGUCUGAGAGGACGAUCAGCCACACUGGGACUGAGACACGGCCCAGACUCCUACGGGAGGCAGCAGUGGGGAAUAUUGCACAAUGGGCGAAAGCCUGAUCCAGCCAUGCCGCGUGCAGGAAGAAGGCCUUCGGGUUGUAAAGCGCUUUCGUUAGGGAGGAAAAGGUUUUGCCUAAUAAGCAGAGCUCAUGACGGUACCGUAAGAAUAAGCACCGGCUAACUACGUGCCAGCAGCCGCGGUAAUACGUAGGGUGCGAGCGUUAAUCGGAAUUACUGGGCGUAAAGCGUGCGCAGGCGGUUAUGUAAGCCAGAUGUGAAAUCCCCGGGCUCAACCUGGGAACUGCAUUAGUGACUGCAUAGCUAGAGUACGGCAGAGGGGGAUGGAAUUCCAGGUGUAGCAGUGAAAUGCGUAGAUAUGCGGAGGAACACCGAUGGCGAAGGCAAUCCCCUGACCAGACUGACGCUCAUGC
This 671-nucleotide ribosomal RNA is filed under the name bacterium ER-Te-47. RNAcentral describes it as "bacterial SSU rRNA". It matches the Rfam family "Bacterial small subunit ribosomal RNA", at positions 83 to 752 of the family's 1533-position model. The record is from RNAcentral.